UCGAACGAAGCGUGCCGGAGGAAGUUUUCGGAUGGAAUCCGGGAUGACUGAGUGGCGGACGGGUGAGUAACGCGUGGGUAACCUGCCCUGUACAGGGGGACAACAGUUAGAAAUGACUGCUAAUACCGCAUAAGCGCACAGGACCGCAUGGUCCGGUGUGAAAAACUCCGGUGGUACAGGAUGGACCCGCGUCUGAUUAGGUAGUUGGCGGGGUAACGGCCCACCAAGCCGACGAUCAGUAGCCGACCUGAGAGGGUGACCGGCCACAUUGGGACUGAGACACGGCCCAAACUCCUACGGGAGGCAGCAGUGGGGAAUAUUGCACAAUGGGGGGAACCCUGAUGCAGCGACGCCGCGUGAGUGAAGAAGUAUUUCGGUAUGUAAAGCUCUAUCAGCAGGGAAGAAAAUGACGGUACCUGACUAAGAAGCCCCGGCUAACUACGUGCCAGCAGCCGCGGUAAUACGUAGGGGGCAAGCGUUAUCCGGAUUUACUGGGUGUAAAGGGAGCGUAGACGGCAGAGCAAGUCUGAAGUGAAAGCCCGCGGCUCAACUGCGGGACUGCUUUGGAAACUGCCCCGGCUAGAGUGCUGGAGAGGUAAGCGGAAUUCCUAGUGUAGCGGUGAAAUGCGUAG
This 632-nucleotide ribosomal RNA is filed under the name uncultured bacterium. RNAcentral's name for it is "bacterial SSU rRNA". It matches the Rfam family "Bacterial small subunit ribosomal RNA", at positions 47 to 693 of the family's 1533-position model. The record is from RNAcentral.